Molecule: long non-coding RNA, 448 nt
Organism: Nycticebus coucang (slow loris)
Lineage: Eukaryota; Metazoa; Chordata; Mammalia; Primates; Lorisidae
Exons: 3
Source: RefSeq, a predicted model, not a curated record
CAGAUAUAGUACAGACCGCCACAGAUGGUAAGAUUAGACCCGGCUAGCUGAUUAUUCAAAUGGUGGUGUCUUCUCUCAAAGCACUAAUGAGUAACCUGUGGGUGCUGCCUCUACCUGGAAAUUUUCUGAUCUUCAUGGAAAAGGGAAAACAUGGUUGAAAACAAAUCAUGAGCCAAUUCUUAACCUACCUACCAGCAACACAUAUCUCAUUUUUGCUUGCAGUCCAUUGACCAAAUUUUUGGCCAGGGCUGGGUUUGAACCUGCCACCUACAGCAUAUGGAGCCAGAACCCCACUCUGUUGAGCCACAGGCACCGCCCAGCAGGAGUUAAUUUUUUAAAUGGUAGAGGUGUGAGCCCAGUUUUAUCCUUUUACAUGUGGCUAACGAUUUCUCCCACCAUCUUUUAAAAUAGGAAUUCUUUUCCCCAGUGUAUGCCUGUGUUUAGUUCA